Molecule: ribosomal RNA, 325 nt
Filed under: uncultured eukaryote
Lineage: Eukaryota
Description: partial 18S ribosomal RNA
Rfam family: Eukaryotic small subunit ribosomal RNA
Source: RNAcentral
CCCUUAGAUGUUCUGGGCCGCACGCGCGCUACACUGAUGCAUUCAACGAGCCUAUCCUUGACCGACAGGUCCGGGUAAUCUUUGAAUCUGCAUCGUGACGGGGAUAGAUUAUUGCAAUUAUUAAUCUUCAACGAGGAAUGCCUAGUAGGCGCAAGUCAUCAGCUUGCGUCGAUUACGUCCCUGCCCUUUGUACACACCGCCCGUCGCUCCUACCGAUUGAGUGGUCCGGUGAGGCUUUGGGAUCUGAGCGGAAAGAGCGUUUCGCUGUUUCUGCCCGGAAAACUCAGUCGAACCUUAUCAUUUAGAGGAAGGAGAAGUCGUAACA